AUUGAACGCUGGCGGCAGGCCUAACACAUGCAAGUCGAACGGUAACAGAAAGCAGCUUGCUGCUUUGCUGACGAGUGGCGGACGGGUGAGUAAUGUCUGGGAAACUGCCUGAUGGAGGGGGAUAACUACUGGAAACGGUAGCUAAUACCGCAUAACGUCGCAAGACCAAAGAGGGGGACCUUCGGGCCUCUUGCCAUCGGAUGUGCCCAGAUGGGAUUAGCUUGUUGGUGGGGUAACGGCUCACCAAGGCGACGAUCCCUAGCUGGUCUGAGAGGAUGACCAGCCACACUGGAACUGAGACACGGUCCAGACUCCUACGGGAGGCAGCAGUGGGGAAUAUUGCACAAAGGGCGCAAGCCUGAUGCAGCCAUGCCGCGUGUAUGAAGAAGGCCUUCGGGUUGUAAAGUACUUUCAGCGGGGAGGAAGGGAGUAAAGUUAAUACCUUUGCUCAUUGACGUUACCCGCAGAAGAAGCACCGGCUAACUCCGUG
RNAcentral lists this ribosomal RNA (490 nucleotides) under uncultured bacterium. RNAcentral's name for it is "partial 16S ribosomal RNA". It matches the Rfam family "Bacterial small subunit ribosomal RNA", at positions 30 to 507 of the family's 1533-position model. The record is from RNAcentral.